GACGAACGCUGGCGGCGUGGAUUAGGCAUGCAAGUCGGACGGUAGGGCUUUAUCGUAAGAUAGAGUUUGAGAGUGGCGAACGGGUGAGUAACACGUAGGAAUCUACCCUUAAGACGGGGACAACCCAGGGAAACUUGGGCUAAUACCGGAUGAGAGUGCGAGAGAUUGCAUUUAAAAGGAUGGCGAAAGUUAUCGCUUAGGGAUGAGCCUGCGGUCUAUUAGUUAGUUGGUGAGGUAAGAGCUCACCAAGGCGAUGAUAGAUAGGCGGCCUUAACGGGUGGUCGCCCACACUGGGAUUGAGAGACGGCCCAGACUCCUACGGGAGGCAGCAGUCGAGAAUAGUCUACAAUGGACGGAAGUCUGAUAGUGCGACGCCGCGUGAACGAAGAAUCCCUUCGGGGUGUAAAGUUCUUUUAUACGUGAGCAGUGCCCUUUAUAUGAAUAGUAUAGAGGGAGGGAUUUAAGCGUAUGAAUAAGCAACGGCUAAACUCCGUGCCAGCAGCCGCGGUAAACA
Molecule: ribosomal RNA, 514 nt
Filed under: uncultured bacterium
Lineage: Bacteria
Description: bacterial SSU rRNA
Rfam family: Bacterial small subunit ribosomal RNA
Source: RNAcentral